This 516-nucleotide ribosomal RNA is filed under the name uncultured bacterium. RNAcentral describes it as "partial 16S ribosomal RNA". It matches the Rfam family "Bacterial small subunit ribosomal RNA", at positions 28 to 523 of the family's 1533-position model. The record is from RNAcentral.
GACGAACGCUGGCGGCGUGCCUAACACAUGCAAGUCGAACGGAGUGUUUAUUUAUAAACACUUAGUGGCGAACGGGUGAGUAACGCGUAGACAACCUACCCUCUAGAUGGGGACAACACCGCGAAAGUGGUGCUAAUACCGAAUGUUGUAAUGUUAUUGCAUAAUGAUAUUACUAAAGGUGGCCUCUAUAUAAAAGCUACCGCUAGAAGAUGGGUCUGCGUCUGAUUAGCUAGUUGGUGAGAUAACAGCUCACCAAGGCAAUGAUCAGUAGCCGGUCUGAGAGGAUAAAAGGCCACACUGGGACUGAGACACGGCCCAGACUCCUACGGGAGGCAGCAGUGGGGAAUCUUCCGCAAUGGACGAAAGUCUGACGGAGCAACGCCGCGUGAGUGAAGAAGGUUUUCGGAUCGUAAAGCUCUGUCUUCAAGGACGAAUGUAGAUAUUGUGAAUAAUGAUAUUUAAUGACGGUACUUGAGGAGGAAGCCACGGCUAACUACGUGCCAGCCGCCGCGGUAA